Molecule: non-coding RNA, 1520 nt
Organism: Vicugna pacos (alpaca)
Lineage: Eukaryota; Metazoa; Chordata; Mammalia; Artiodactyla; Camelidae
Source: RefSeq, a predicted model, not a curated record
AGCUCGCAACUGCGGCGGCAGCCGUGGCCGCUGGGUCGUGGCCAUCGUGGGCACAGCCGGCUCCGCUAAGGGUCCCCGCGGCCGGCAGGCGUGUGUUCCCGCAAGGGACCGCCUACCCACUCUCCCCGCCCCGGGAAGGACUGUGCCGCACCCGGGACUUUUCGGACUCGCCCAGCAGCGCGCGAGCAAGCAGGCAGCCGCUGGAGCCGAGCGCGGGCGGAAAACGAAAGCGCAGGGCGGGUCGCUGCCGCUUUGUCUCCGGCGCCACGGGCUGUUCGGGGAUCGAGUGAGAACCGCUGGCCCUUCGCGGGGACCAGCACCUCGCUAGCUUCUCUAGCAAGCGGUCCGCUCAUUCCCUCGCUUGUGCUCUGGAGCACUCGUGCACACACAUGCACACACUGAUGCACUCACGCGUGCGCUGCCACUCACGCGCACACUGCGCUCAGGCCCGUGCGUGCCGGCUCCUGCACGCACCAGAGGCCACUGGAGCUUCAAUUAGCACCUACUCCCACUUAUGUGUACACUGGCCACGCUCUGAUCUGAGCCCCCACAUAACUCAGUUGACUCCCCCGCCCGCCCCUCAAAACAAACACUGAAAACCCGCCUAUUUGGCUCCGCAGUCCCGGUGUCCCCGCUUCCCAAGAGCAGGUUCCGAUUUCUCGCAGAUGGUAAAGGCCCUGGCAGGAAGUUUAUACGGCUCAACGUAAACACGUUCUGGGGGAUUCUUUAAUAAUAAUAAUAGAGAAUCCCGCGUGCGCGGGGGGAGUUGGCCUAAUGCCCCUGUGGGCUCGGCCUGCCGCCGCCGCGGGGGCCUCUGACACUGCGCGCCAGGCCAGGUUCCGGAAGGCUGUCUGCGCGGGCGGGGAGCGCGGGCCCGGGCGGACGUUGCGCGCCCAGCUGCCCGCAGCCGGAGGCUCUCACGCACGCCUUUCCCCCGCCAGCCACCCAGCGCCGAGGUGCCGCCUAGGACGGGGUCGGGGGGACGGUGGCGCCGAGCGCAACGCCGCACGCGGGGACCCAGGGGGUGGAGCAAGAGACAGACUCUCCUAUAAUUCACCGUCUUUGUGCUGAGUACCCGGGCCAUGGCGGAUGCCAGUUUUGUCCUCCUGAGGAGAUGAGAUGUGGUCGACAGGGAAUGUUUCCUCACCAAAGUGAUUUCCUCUUUGCAUGCCGCCUUCAAAACUCUCCACCUCGAAGCCAGUAGCCCCGGUCCCCUCGCUGGGUACUGUAAAGCCAUUCUUAAGGACAUAAACCUCUGACAGCUUCACUCCGUGACAGCAGCUCAGGGUUCCGCCUCCCACUAUCCUUUGAACGGUUCUGCCUGGAUGAGCAGUGAUCAGUGACCUUAGGUGUUACUACUGUUAUUGUUUGGGGCUCUACGAAGCACACCCGCUUAGGUUACAAACCUGUGUGUCCUGACUGCUCGACCAACCGGCCGUCCCCCCAUCUCUCUCCUUCUCCUCGGGCCUCCCUGUUCCUUGAGACACAAUGUUGAAAUUAGGCCAAUUAAUGACCCUGCA